GAAAAGUAUAAAUGCACCAUUAAUUCUAGAAGCCAGAUAACAAAGGUCAGGUUACUUGUCAACAAAAUACUAAUAGAAGCACAAAAAACUGCAUCUAAACACUUGAAAUAGAUAGGACAAGAUUUAGUAAGUGAAUGAUUGAUAUAGUGCUCCCAAAAUCAUAAUGUCCAAAAGAAAACAUGCAAACGAAAUUAAUAGCCUCAACCAGUGAUCACAACCAAAAGAGAAAAUGCAAAUGUUUCCUUUUCCAGAUUUCGUACCUCUGGAUGGCCUCCAGGGAAAAC
This 284-nucleotide unclassified non-coding RNA is filed under the name Hevea brasiliensis (rubber tree). The record is from RNAcentral. Lineage: Eukaryota; Viridiplantae; Streptophyta; Magnoliopsida; Malpighiales; Euphorbiaceae.